GUCUACGGCCAUGCCACCCUGAACAAGCCCGAUCCCGUCUGAUCUCAGAAGCUAAGCAGGGUGGGGCCUGGUUAGUACUUGGAUGGGAGACCACCUAGGAAGACCAGGUGUUGUAGGCA
Molecule: ribosomal RNA, 119 nt
Filed under: Pteropus alecto (black flying fox)
Lineage: Eukaryota; Metazoa; Chordata; Mammalia; Chiroptera; Pteropodidae
Source: RNAcentral